This is a long non-coding RNA of Hemicordylus capensis (graceful crag lizard), 1617 nucleotides long. RefSeq lists it as uncharacterized. The transcript has 4 exons. The record is from RefSeq and is a predicted model, not a curated record. Lineage: Eukaryota; Metazoa; Chordata; Lepidosauria; Squamata; Cordylidae.
UCUCCACGCUUGCCGUAACAUGCGGAGGAUGUAUGGAUGUGCUGUAAGUUAGGCCUGCCAAGGAAUGAAGGUGUUGGUUUGGUGGGAGUAAAGUAAAGGUCAAGUGUGCUGUCGAAUCGGUGUCGACUCGUGGCGCCCACAGAGCCCUGUGGUUUUCUUUUGGUAGAAUACAGGAGGGGUUGACCAUUGCCUCCUCCCGCGCAGUAUGAGAUGGUGAUGCCUUUCAGCCUCUUCCUAUAUCGCUGCUGCCUAAUAUAGGUGUUUCUGACAGUCUGGGAAACAUACUAGGGAGGAUUCGAACCGGCAACCUCUGGCCUGCUAGGCAAGUCAUUUCCCCGCUGUGCCAUUAGGUGGCUAGUCAUAAUAGCACAAGAGUUGCUUUUUGGAGUUCUUGGAUCCAACCUUCUCCUCCUCUGCCCCCUUCUUCCUUCUCCUCCAUCAUCAAAAUUUAUAUGCCGCUUCUGAAAAAAAGCUACAAAGCGGUUUACAUCGAGCAAUAAAUGAGAUGGUUCUCUGCCCCCAAAGGGCCCACAAUCUCUCAAGAAACACAAGACAGACUCCUGCAGCCGCCACGAGAGAGAUGCUGUGCUGGGGUUGGAUAGGGCCAGUCGCUUCCCCCAUGAAAAAAAAUGUAAGGGAGAGAAACAAGACAAGAAAAAGAAAACGUGGGAAACAUAAAGAAGAUACUGGUUGUCCCUGAAUUGACCUCAGAGGAGGAGGACUCCGAAUGUAAGCCGACCCCGAAUUUCUAACAUCAAAGAACUUGGGGAAACAAAUAGCCUUGGAGUCAGUUUUUCCUAGGCGGAUGGAGCACUUUGGAGAGUUCUCUACCAAAGAAAGUGUUCCAGGUUCGUCCGUCCACCUCCCCUUCCCUCUCAGCUUUCUGGUGGUCUCUCCGCUGGCUGCACCACUGGAGCACUUCAUGGGGAAGCGGUGGAUAGAUUUCUGCACACUUGCAGAUAUCUGGAGCAUUAUUAUUUAUACGGCACACUCAGUAUAUUCGGCACAGUACAGAGCAACAAUUAAAAGGUCAGAUCCAUGCUCCCAAGGAGCUUACAAUUUAGACCAGGGGGAGGGUGGGCAAUCCAACAUCGCAAGGAGAGAAGGGGAAAGAAAGAAAGUGUACCAGAACAGCACAGAGAGAGUAAUGGGAAAGGCCCAAGGUCUAUUUCCCCAUUCCCACACACACGUUAUUGGUAAACAAGGGAGCUAUGAAGCCUACAGAAUUACAGUGUGACCUCUCUCCAUAGUGCCGUGUGAAAUAUGAAAUAGGAGUUUUAAUUACAAAACUUGGAGUGCAUUGUAUUUGCUUAAUAUUUAAUGCGACUCUGCAAUUUGCAUCUUGAAUACCGCUGUGCAAAAGGCUUCGGCUGGUGACCUGGUUCUCGGCAAGUUCUUUCCAGGCUGGGAUGAGCCGUUCCUGGAGGAAGACGGGGAUAUGCCGAUUAAGUCAAAAGCGGGCCUCGGAAGACCUCCGCACCGUGGAUUCUCCACUGGAAAGGGCCGUAAAAAUUCGUGUGUGCUCUCCAGCUCGGUGGUUUCUGUCAGGAAAGGCGGUUCUUUGCUCCGUCCUUGUUCUGAACUGGGUUCCCGACACAUAUGGCAAGUUGAACUAAG